This is a long non-coding RNA of Carassius gibelio (silver crucian carp), 1342 nucleotides long. RefSeq lists it as uncharacterized. The record is from RefSeq and is a predicted model, not a curated record. NCBI's taxonomy places the organism in Eukaryota, Metazoa, Chordata, Actinopteri, Cypriniformes, Cyprinidae. The transcript is spliced from 3 exons.
CUGGAAUGUUGAGUCAAAAGCUGACAAAUUUAGCGGGAACAUUGGUCAGAUUACAAGUUUGGAAAAUUAUCAGCUAUACAGCAUCAGUCCCCAUUAACUUUCACUGUAUGGAGAAGAGCAGAAGAAGAACAUCUCCUGCUGAGAGGAACGAACAACAUGAAGUACUUUGCAGUUCGGCGGGUCACACAAUCCUGUUCAUUAGCCUCCUGCUCUAGUGACCCGCAGGAGGCCAUCAGAUUAUGGCGACGCAUCUCUGCUCACCGCGUUUUCCUGCUCCAUGCCAAAUCAACAGAUGCCUAAGGAGACUAGCGGAUUUUACACACAAGACCCAGACUGAGCCAGAGAGCAGAACCUUCCAGCAAGAGCUCAGGCUGAGAGUUGAUCACAACCUAGGAAAUCCUGUGCCACCCAUUGGGGCUGAUGGGAAGGUGCUGCUUUAAAAAUAGAAAUGUGUGCCAGGCCGGGAACAAAGAACAGUUGCUGAGUGCAGCGGAAAAGAAUGGGCACUGAGUGAUCGCUUUUCCUUUGACGUGUGAUAACUUACACUUAACUCUUACCCCACCGCUGACGAGUUAUCUUGUCUUUUAGAAGACAACACUUCCCCGCCAAAGACGAGUUUUUACAGCUUUUUGUGUUUUCACUGUUAUACACUCGGGGGCGCUAUUACACAUCUUCUGAACGAGUACAAAACCUCCCGAACAAAAACACACGUGAACAGGAUGGAGAAACGAGCAAUCUCUUAUAUAAACAGAUGCAUAUUAGAAAUAAUGCAAUCAUCAGCAUUUAAAUGGAAAUUGCAUAAUGUUACGGAGUAAAAUGUUGCUGGAGGCUUUUUGCUGUACCAUGUUUUUGUAGCACCAUGGUACUUUUUUGUGAGUCAUUAACAAGAUACUCAUGGUAUUUACAUGGUAAAUGGUACAUGUCCAAAAUGGUAGUACUGUGACAUUUCAAGUCAUUAAAAAUGAUACUAUAGUAUUUGACAUGGUACCAUGUUACUGGUUGCAGAUACCAUGGUCCGUUAAUAUUUGUAUAUUCUAAUACAAUGUUACAUCUCAACGUACCAUGGUAAUGCCGUCUAACACCAUCAGUGUAUCAUGUUAUCACCCCAGUGCUUUUCUGAGUAAACACCAUGGUAUAUCUAAAAGUAUCAUGUGACAUGUCACAUACAAUGGUAGGCAAACAGUAUGUACUGUAAUGUUAUGCAACAGUGCUAUGGCUAAUAAUUAUGUUUCAAAAUGGACUGAUAGACUGUAACAAAAUUGGGGUUUAAAAGGCCAGAUUCUUUGUGUGUGUGUGUGUGUGUGUGUGUGGGGAGCGGAAACAAAAGAUGGUGGAAGGGGGA